This 520-nucleotide unclassified non-coding RNA is filed under the name uncultured Archaeospora. Its description in RNAcentral is "SSU rRNA". It matches the Rfam family "Eukaryotic small subunit ribosomal RNA", at positions 569 to 1091 of the family's 1831-position model. Lineage: Eukaryota; Fungi; Glomeromycota; Glomeromycetes; Archaeosporales; Archaeosporaceae. The record is from RNAcentral.
AGCAGCCGCGGUAAUUCCAGCUCCAAUAGCGUAUAUUAAAGUUGUUGCAGUUAAAAAGCUCGUAGUUGAAUUUUGGAUUCUUCCAAUUGGUCCAUCUUUUAGAUGAGUACUGGUUGUGUGAGGUCUAUCCGCCUGGUGAUACGUAAUGUCCUUUAUUGGAUGUUGCGGGUAGUCAGGACCUUUACCUUGAAAAAAUUAGAGUGUUUAAAGCAGGCUUAUGCCGGAAUACAUUAGCAUGGAAUAAUAGAAUAGGACGAAGUUGUUUUAUUUUGUUGGUUUCUAGGACAACCGUAAUGAUUAAUAGGGAUAGUUGGGGGCAUUAGUAUUCAAUUGUCAGAGGUGAAAUUCUUGGAUUUAUUGAAGACUAACUACUGCGAAAGCAUUUGCCAAGGAUGUUUUCAUUAAUCAAGAACGAAAGUUAGGGGAUCGAAGACGAUCAGAUACCGUCGUAGUCUUAACCAUAAACUAUGCCGACUAGGGAUCGGGCGAUGUUGUUUCCAUGACUCGCUCGGCACCUUAU